ACGCCCCGCAAGGGGAGUGGCAGACGGGUGAGUAACGCGUGGGAACAUACCCUUUCCUGCGGAAUAGCUCCGGGAAACUGGAAUUAAUACCGCAUACGCCCUACGGGGGAAAGAUUUAUCGGGGAAGGAUUGGCCCGCGUUGGAUUAGCUAGUUGGUGGGGUAAAGGCCUACCAAGGCGACGAUCCAUAGCUGGUCUGAGAGGAUGAUCAGCCACAUUGGGACUGAGACACGGCCCAAACUCCUACGGGAGGCAGCAGUGGGGAAUAUUGGACAAUGGGCGCAAGCCUGAUCCAGCCAUGCCGCGUGAGUGAUGAAGGCCUUAGGGUUGUAAAGCUCUUUCACCGAUGAAGAUAAUGACGGUAGUCGGAGAAGAAGCCCCGGCUAACUUCGUGCCAGCAGCCGCGGUAAUACGAAGGGGGCUAGCGUUGUUCGGAAUUACUGGGCGUAAAGCGCACGUAGGCGGAUAUUUAAGUCAGGGGUGAAAUCCCGCAGCUCAACUGCGGAACUGCCUUUGAUACUGGGUAUCUUGAGUAUGGAAGAGGUAAGUGGAAUUCCGAGUGUAGAGGUGAAAUUCGUAGAUAUUCGGAGGAACACCAGUGGCGAAGGCGGCUUACUGGUCCAU
Molecule: ribosomal RNA, 623 nt
Filed under: Rhizobium sp.
Lineage: Bacteria; Pseudomonadati; Pseudomonadota; Alphaproteobacteria; Hyphomicrobiales; Rhizobiaceae
Description: bacterial SSU rRNA
Rfam family: Bacterial small subunit ribosomal RNA
Source: RNAcentral